GACGUAGGAUGCAAGCGUUGUCCGGAAUCAUUGGGCGUAAAGAGUUCGUAGGCGGUAUAUCAAGUCUGGUGUUAAAUACCGAGGCUCAACUUCGGAAGGGCACUGGAUACUGGUAAACUGGAGUGCAGUAGAGGCAAGGGGAAUUCCCAGUGUAGCGGUGAAAUGCGUAGAUAUUGGGAGGAACACCGGUGGCGUAAGCGCCUUGCUGGGCUGUUACUGACGCUGAGGAACGAAAGCCAGGGGAG
RNAcentral lists this ribosomal RNA (245 nucleotides) under uncultured bacterium. RNAcentral's name for it is "partial 16S ribosomal RNA". It matches the Rfam family "Bacterial small subunit ribosomal RNA", at positions 524 to 768 of the family's 1533-position model. The record is from RNAcentral.